CGGGGACCCAAGUACCCCUCGGUGGGUGUGCUCGGGCCCGGCCAUCCUUCUGUAAACUUUCGCGCGUCCUUCACCGGUCGGCAAAGGGAUCAGAUAAUUUACCUUGAGAAAAUUAGAGUGUUUCAGGCAGGCUUAGCCGGAAUACAUUAGCAUGGAAUAAUGGAAUAGGACUGAGGUCUCGUUGUUGGUUACGCGGACUACAGUAAUGAUUAAUAGGGACAGUUGGGGGCAUUAGUAUUUAAUAGCUAGAGGUGGAAUUCUCUAAUUUGUUAAAGACUAACUUAUGCGAAAGCAUUUGCCAAGGAUGUUUUCAUUAAUCAAGAACGAAAGUUAGGGGAUCAAAGACGAUCAGAUACCGUCCUAGUCUUAACCAUAAACUAUGCCGACUCGGGAUCGGGAGCGUGUGUUAUCCGCUUUCGGCACCGUAUGAGAAAUCAAAGUCUUUGCGUUCUGGGGGGAGUAUGGUCGCAAGGCUGAAACUUAAAGGAAUUGACGGAAGGGCACCACCAGGC
This 512-nucleotide ribosomal RNA is filed under the name uncultured eukaryote. RNAcentral's name for it is "SSU rRNA". It matches the Rfam family "Eukaryotic small subunit ribosomal RNA", at positions 654 to 1175 of the family's 1831-position model. The record is from RNAcentral.